GACGAACGCUGGCGGCGUGCCUAAUACAUGCAAGUUGAGCGCUGAAGGUUGGUACUUGUACCAACUGGAUGAGCAGCGAACGGGUGAGUAACGCGUGGGGAAUCUGCCUUUGAGCGGGGGACAACAUUUGGAAACGAAUGCUAAUACCGCAUAAAAACUUUAAACACAAGUUUUAAGUUUGAAAGAUGCAAUUGCAUCACUCAAAGAUGAUCCCGCGUUGUAUUAGCUAGUUGGUGAGGUAAAGGCUCACCAAGGCGAUGAUACAUAGCCGACCUGAGAGGGUGAUCGGCCACAUUGGGACUGAGACACGGCCCAAACUCCUACGGGAGGCAGCAGUAGGGAAUCUUCGGCAAUGGACGAAAGUCUGAACGAGCAACGCCGCGGGAGUGAAGAAGGUUUUCGGAUCGUAAAACUCGGUUGGUAGAGAAGAACGUUGGUGAGAGUGGAAAGCUCAUCAAGUGACGGUAACUACCCAGAAAGGGACGGCUAACUACGUG
Molecule: ribosomal RNA, 497 nt
Filed under: uncultured bacterium
Lineage: Bacteria
Description: partial 16S ribosomal RNA
Rfam family: Bacterial small subunit ribosomal RNA
Source: RNAcentral